GCCGCUAAAGCUCAGUGGCUAUAGCGUUGGUUUCGUAAACCAAAAGUCGCGAGAUCAAAUCUCUUUUGUGGCA
This is a non-coding RNA of Trichonephila inaurata madagascariensis, 73 nucleotides long. Lineage: Eukaryota; Metazoa; Arthropoda; Arachnida; Araneae; Nephilidae. The record is from the annotation of a GenBank genome assembly.